RNAcentral lists this long non-coding RNA (463 nucleotides) under Rattus norvegicus (Norway rat). RNAcentral describes it as "long non-coding RNA NONRATT032458". Lineage: Eukaryota; Metazoa; Chordata; Mammalia; Rodentia; Muridae. The record is from RNAcentral.
UUCACAACGGUCCUCUUAUUUGUACAGAUCAGAUGGCAGCUGGUGAAACUGGAAGAGAGAUAGGAAGCAGUGGUGUGCAGUUGACCCACUGCAAACCUGAGAGCCUCGCCAUCACUCCUCUGCCCUCCCAGAGGAGGCAGCUGUAACACAGGCCUUGGAUCUGCUCUUCUUGUGUCCGGUCAUACCCACGACAGCCAGAGAUGGUGACCUACAAGUGGCUGGACCUCAAUCUGUCACAUGCCCUACUGCCAUGCUGUGGCUGUCAGCAACUCACCUGUCUGUGGACCAUCAGGUAAACCUCGCACUUCUGGGAGCACUGAGGUAGGUAGAUCACUUUACCACUGAUGCCCCUCUGACCCCCGAAGGCCCCCAGUGGGCAGAAGAAAGGCGUGUCUACAACUCUCUCUUCUCCCAGGCUGUCUCCAUAUGUAUCAUAGCGCAGUGCUUCUGACCCUCAUUGAUA